This 550-nucleotide ribosomal RNA is filed under the name uncultured archaeon. RNAcentral's name for it is "bacterial SSU rRNA". It matches the Rfam family "Archaeal small subunit ribosomal RNA", at positions 328 to 879 of the family's 1478-position model. The record is from RNAcentral.
GGGCGCCCAGGCGCGAAAACUUUACAAUGCGGGAAACCGUGAUAAGGGGACACCGAGUGCCGGCAUCAUAUGCUGGCUGUCCGGGUGUGUAAAAUACACCCGUUAGCAAGGGCCGGGCAAGACCGGUGCCAGCCGCCGCGGUAACACCGGCGGCCCGAGUGGUGAUCGUGAUUAUUGGGUCUAAAGGGUCCGUAGCCGGUUUGGUCAGUCCUCCGGGAAAUCUGACGGCUCAACCGUUAGGCUUUCGGGGGAUACUGCCAGGCUUGGAACCGGGAGAGGUAAGAGGUACUACAGGGGUAGGAGUGAAAUCUUGUAAUCCCUGUGAGACCACCUGUGGCGAAGGCGUCUUACCAGAACGGGUUCGACGGUGAGGGACGAAAGCUGGGGGCACGAACCGGAUUAGAUACCCGGGUAGUCCCAGCCGUAAACGAUGCUCGCUAGGUGUCAGGCAUGGCGCGACCGUGUCUGGUGCCGCAGGGAAGCCGUGAAGCGAGCCACCUGGGAAGUACGGCCGCAAGGCUGAAACUUAAAGGAAUUGGCGGGGGAGCAC